This 267-nucleotide ribosomal RNA is filed under the name uncultured bacterium. RNAcentral's name for it is "partial 16S ribosomal RNA". It matches the Rfam family "Bacterial small subunit ribosomal RNA", at positions 28 to 297 of the family's 1533-position model. The record is from RNAcentral.
GACGAACGCUGGCGGCGUGCUUAACACAUGCAAGUCGAGCGGUAAGGCCCUUUCGGGGUACACGAGCGGCGAACGGGUGAGUAACACGUGGGUGACCUGCCCUCAGCUCUGGGAUAAGCCUGGGAAACUGGGUCUAAUACUGGAUAUGACUCCACGGUGCAUGUCGGUGGGGUGGAAAGCCUUGUGCGGCUGAGGAUGGGCCCGCGGCCUAUCAGCUUGUUGGUGGGGUGAGGCCUACCAAGGCGACGACGGGUAGCCGGCCUGAGA